AGCGAACGCUGGCGGCAGGCCUAAUACAUGCAAGUCGAGCGCCCUUUCGGGGGAGCGGCGGACGGGUGAGUAACGCGUGGGAACGUGCCCUUUGGUACGGAACAACACAGGGAAACUUGUGCUAAUACCGUAUGUGCCCUUCGGGGGAAAGAUUUAUCGCCAUUGGAGCGGCCCGCGUUGGAUAAGGUAGUUGGUGGGGUAAAGGCUCACCAAGCCUACGAUCCAUAGCUGGUCUGAGAGGAUGAUCAGCCACACUGGGACUGAGACACGGCCCAGACUCCUACGGGAGGCAGCAGUAGGGAAUCUUGCGCAAUGGGCGAAAGCCUGACGCAGCCAUGCCGCGUGAAUGAUGAAGGUCUUAGGAUUGUAAAAUUCUUUCACCGGGGAAGAUAAUGACGGUACCCGGAGAAGAAGCCCCGGCUAACUUCGUGCCAGCCGCCGCCGUAA
Molecule: ribosomal RNA, 447 nt
Filed under: uncultured bacterium
Lineage: Bacteria
Description: partial 16S ribosomal RNA
Rfam family: Bacterial small subunit ribosomal RNA
Source: RNAcentral